GAUGAACGCUGGCUGUGUGCCUAAUACAUGCAUGUCGAGCGGAAGUAGCAAUACUUUAGCGGCGAAUGGGUGAGUAACACGUGCUUAAUCUACCCCUUAGAUUGGAAUACCUAAUGGAAACAUUGGUUAAUGCCGGAUACGCAUGGAGUCGCAUGACUCCGUUGUGAAAGGGGCCUUUAAAGCUCCACUAAGAGAUGAGGGUGCGGAACAUUAGCUAGUUGGUGAGGUAACGGCCCACCAAGGCUAUGAUGUUUAGCCGGGUCGAGAGACUGAACGGCCACAUUGGGACUGAGAUACGGCCCAAACUCCUACGGGAGGCAGCAGUAGGGAAUAUUCCACAAUGAGCGAAAGCUUGAUGGAGCGACACAGCGUGCACGAUGAAGGUCUUAUGGAUUGUAAAGUGCUGUUGCAAGGGAAGAAAAAGUAGUUGAGGAAAUGCUUCUACAUUGACGGUACCUUGUUAGAAAGCGAUGGCUAACUAUGUGCCAGCAGCCGCGGUAAUACAUAGGUCGCAAGCGUUAUCCGGAAUUAUUGGGCGUAAAGCGUUCGUAGGCUGUUUAUUAAGUCUGGAGUCAAAUCCCAGGGCUCAACCCUGGCUCGCUUUGGAUACUGGUAAACUAGAGUUGGAUAGAGGUAAGCGGAAUUCCAUGUGAAGCGGUGAAAUGCGUAGAUAUAUGGAAGAACACCAAAGGCGAAGGCAGCUUACUGGGUUUAUACUGACGCUGAGGAACGAAAGCGUGGGGAGCAAACAGG
RNAcentral lists this ribosomal RNA (753 nucleotides) under uncultured Mycoplasma sp. Its description in RNAcentral is "bacterial SSU rRNA". It matches the Rfam family "Bacterial small subunit ribosomal RNA", at positions 28 to 776 of the family's 1533-position model. The record is from RNAcentral. Lineage: Bacteria; Bacillati; Mycoplasmatota; Mollicutes; Mycoplasmatales; Mycoplasmataceae.